This 661-nucleotide ribosomal RNA is filed under the name Salmonella enterica subsp. enterica. RNAcentral's name for it is "partial 23S ribosomal RNA". It matches the Rfam family "Bacterial large subunit ribosomal RNA", at positions 711 to 1284 of the family's 2925-position model. The record is from RNAcentral. Lineage: Bacteria; Pseudomonadati; Pseudomonadota; Gammaproteobacteria; Enterobacterales; Enterobacteriaceae.
AGACCCGAAACCCGGUGAUCUAGCCAUGGGCAGGUUGAAGGUUGGGUAACACUAACUGGAGGACCGAACCGACUAAUGUUGAAAAAUUAGCGGAUGACCUGUGGCUGGGGGUGAAAGGCCAAUCAAACCGGGAGAUAGCUGGUUCUCCCCGAAAGCUAUUUAGGUAGCGCCUCGUGAAUUCAUCUCCGGGGGUAGAGCACUGUUUCGGCUAGGGGGCCAUCCCGGCUUACCAACCCGAUGCAAACUGCGAAUACCGGAGAAUGUUAUCACGGGAGACACACGGCGGGUGCUAACGUCCGUCGUGAAGAGGGAAACAACCCAGACCGCCAGCUAAGGUCCCAAAGUCAUGGUUAAGUGGGAAACGAUGUGGGAAGGCCCAGACAGCCAGGAUGUUGGCUUAGAAGCAGCCAUCAUUUAAAGAAAGCGUAAUAGCUCACUGGUCGAGUCGGCCUGCGCGGAAGAUGUAACGGGGCUAAACCAUGCACCGAAGCUGCGGCAGCGAACGUAUCACCCAAGACAACUUUACGGAGUUGACGAUUGACGGAGCGAAGCGACGUCAAAGCGUUCAUUAAAGUCGAGUUGGCUUAGGGAUACGUUCGUUGGGUAGGGGAGCGUUCUGUAAGCCUGCGAAGGUGGCCUGUGAGGGUUGCUGGAGGUAUCA